RNAcentral lists this ribosomal RNA (394 nucleotides) under uncultured marine phototrophic eukaryote. RNAcentral's name for it is "bacterial SSU rRNA". It matches the Rfam family "Bacterial small subunit ribosomal RNA", at positions 387 to 795 of the family's 1533-position model. The record is from RNAcentral.
CGGAGCAAUACCGCGUGAGGGAUGAAUGCCUAUGGGUUGUAAACCUCUUUUUUCAGGGAGGAAUAAAUGACGUGUACCUGAAGAAUAAGCAUCGGCUAACUCCGUGCCAGCAGCCGCGGUAAGACGGAGGAUGCAAGUGUUAUCCGGAAUCACUGGGCGUAAAGCGUCUGUAGGUGGUUUAAUAAGUCAACUGUUAAAUCUUGAGGCUUAACUUCAAAAUCGCAGUCGAAACUAUUAGACUAGAGUAUAGUAGGGGUAAAGGGAAUUUCCAGUGGAGCGGUGAAAUGCGUAGAGAUUGGAAAGAACACCGAUGGCGAAGGCACUUUACUGGGCUAUUACUGACACUCAGAGACGAAAGCUAGGGUAGCAAAUGGGAUUAGAUACCCCAGUAGUC